Molecule: ribosomal RNA, 253 nt
Filed under: uncultured bacterium
Lineage: Bacteria
Description: partial 16S ribosomal RNA
Rfam family: Bacterial small subunit ribosomal RNA
Source: RNAcentral
UACGUAGGUGGCAAGCGUUGUCCGGAUUUAUUGGGCGUAAAGGGAGCGCAGGCGGUGAUUUAAGUCUGAUGUGAAAGCCCACGGCUCAACCGUGGAGGGUCAUUGGAAACUGGAAAACUUGAGUGCAGAAGAGGAAAGUGGAAUUCUCAGUGUAGCGGUGAAAUGCGUAGAUAUUGAGAAGAACACCAGUAGCGAAGGCGGCUUUCUGGACUGUAACUGACACUGAGGCACGAAAGCGUGGGGAGCAAACAGG